This 330-nucleotide ribosomal RNA is filed under the name Triticum aestivum (bread wheat). RNAcentral describes it as "partial small subunit ribosomal RNA". The record is from RNAcentral. Lineage: Eukaryota; Viridiplantae; Streptophyta; Magnoliopsida; Poales; Poaceae.
AUGGCGGCGAAAGUAGCCGGCGGCGCCGCAUCUCUCCCGGCGGCGCAAGAGGCGAGCCUCGCGAGGCAUUACACCGCGAUGGAUAUCAGCGGUGGCGAGAUGGGGGAGGAGGCGGAGGUCUCAUCCUUCACCACGCGCUUCGCGUCGCUGCGCGUUCGGGAGGACCGGCUGGCCAAGAUCGCUGCUAGCCUGCGCCUGAUCAAGGAGAAGCGCGGCUCCCGGCCCCCCACCUACAUCGAGCUGGCCGCCGCCGUCCUCCUGAAAGACAGCGUUGCCGCCGCCCUCCAACGCCGCGCCACCAUCGUCGUCGGGCGGUCGCUGCUUGAAUAA